This 452-nucleotide ribosomal RNA is filed under the name uncultured bacterium. Its description in RNAcentral is "bacterial SSU rRNA". It matches the Rfam family "Bacterial small subunit ribosomal RNA", at positions 340 to 786 of the family's 1533-position model. The record is from RNAcentral.
UACGGAAGGCAGCAGUGGGGAAUAUUGCACAAUGGGCGCAAGCCUGAUGCAGCCAUGCCGCGUGUAUGAAGAAGGCCUUCGGGUUGUAAAGUACUUUCAGUCGUGAGGAAGGUGUUAAGGUUAAUAACCUUAGCAAUUGACGUUAGCGACAGAAGAAGCACCGGCUAACUCCGUGCCAGCAGCCGCGGUAAUACGGAGGGUGCGAGCGUUAAUCGGAAUUACUGGGCGUAAAGGGCACGCAGGCGGUUAAUUAAGUUGGAUGUGAAAUCCCCGGGCUUAACCUGGGAAUGGCAUUCAAGACUGGUUAGCUAGAGUCUUGUAGAGGGGGUUAGAAUUCCAUGUGUAGCGGUGAAAUGCGUAGAGAUGUGGAGGAAUACCGGUGGCGAAGGCGGCCCCUGGACAAAGACUGACGCUCAUGUGCGAAAGCUGGGGAGCAAACAGGAUUAGAUACC